GGCAUAUUAAAAACAAAGGGGUGCCAAGCGACAGAUAGCAAGGCGGGGCGUAUUACCAGAUAACUCCCGGUCCUUCCGACCCAGCUCCUCUCCUGCUCGGCGCCCGGACUCCAGCGCAUCAGCGAGCUCUUGGCUGAGCUGCUCCUUCUCCUGUCGGAGACGCGCCACCUCCUCCUCCAGGUCUAAGUGAAUGACAACCUGGUC
RNAcentral lists this long non-coding RNA (204 nucleotides) under Sorghum bicolor (sorghum). RNAcentral's name for it is "long non-coding RNA (SBIC_LNC018628)". The record is from RNAcentral. Lineage: Eukaryota; Viridiplantae; Streptophyta; Magnoliopsida; Poales; Poaceae.